CCCUCAAAUCCCAAAAUUAAACACCCAAAACUCCUCUAAAAAUUUUCUCUAGAAGUAAAAAAAAGGAGAAAGAAGAGGAGGCUAGGUCAAGCACAAGUCUCCAAUUUUCAACCUUUUAUGGGCAUUACGACUAAGCUAAGGGUUCGACAACAAGAUUCUCACACUCGUGUCUAGCUUCCUUGUUGAGCAAUAAAGUGAAGAUUUGGUUAGUCUUCAUUGUGUUUGAGGAUGUGAUCACCCUUUUAUUUUAUGCCUUUCUUUUAUGUCUUGGACUAUUGUAUGGGCUACGUCCCAAGACUUUAUCCAUGACUAUGCUAUUAGAGUUGUGAUUUAUUGUAAAGGACUUUGAUUAUGUUGAAAUAUUUUUAAUACUUGCACCA
Long non-coding RNA from Solanum lycopersicum (tomato), 380 nucleotides. RefSeq lists it as uncharacterized. The record is from RefSeq and is a predicted model, not a curated record. Lineage: Eukaryota; Viridiplantae; Streptophyta; Magnoliopsida; Solanales; Solanaceae.